Molecule: RNA transcript, 2624 nt
Organism: Cornus florida
Lineage: Eukaryota; Viridiplantae; Streptophyta; Magnoliopsida; Cornales; Cornaceae
Gene name: phosphomethylpyrimidine synthase, chloroplastic
Exons: 8
Source: RefSeq, a predicted model, not a curated record
UGAAGGAUACGAAAGGUUCUCUCUAUAUAACGCUACUAAGCCCGUGAACGACGUGUUCAGUUAGUGCUCUCGUAGCGAGUGAAGAGAUAAGACCAGACUAGAGUUCAUUCCAAACAUGGCAUCAGUGAACACUACUUUGACAUCAAUUGUAUGCAAGAAUGGCAACCAUUCUGCUGCCUCAAAAUUGCCAAAUACCACCUUCUUGCCUGGGUUUGAUGUGGUUCGGAAUGUUGCUAGUAUGAGGAAGGACAUAUGUCUCACUUCCUCUUUAGGCCCUAGAGCCACAUUAACCUUUGAACCCUCAACAACCAAUUCAGAGAAAACUAAACAAAGGAAACACACAGUCGAUCCUGCUGCCCCUGAUUUUCUCCCACUUCCAUCCUUUGAACAGUGUUUCCCAAAGAGCUCAAAAGAGUACAGGGAUGUUAUUCAUGAAGAAUCUGGCCAUGUGCUCAAAGUUCCAUUUAGAAGGGUACACCUAGUUGGGGAUGAACCGCAUUUUGACACCUACGACACUAGUGGCCCCCAAAACAUUAGCCCAAGCAUUGGACUCCCUAAAUUGCGCAAGGACUGGAUUGACAGGCGGGAGAAGUUAGGUGGACCAAGAUACACUCAAAUGUUCUAUGCUAAGCAGGGGAUUAUAACUGAGGAAAUGGUGUUCUGUGCUGCUCGUGAGAAGCUUGACCCAGAGUUUGUGAGAUCAGAGGUUGCCCGUGGGCGGGCAAUCAUCCCUUCCAACAAGAAGCACCUAGAGUUGGAGCCAAUGAUAGUUGGAAGAAACUUUUUGGUGAAAGUUAAUGCAAAUAUUGGAAAUUCUGCUGUUGUGAGCUCCAUCGAGGAAGAAGUUCAAAAGCUUCAGUGGGCAACAAUGUGGGGUGCUGACACCAUUAUGGAUCUCUCGACAGGUCGCCACAUCCAUGAAACCCGUGAGUGGAUCCUACGUAACUCUUCUGUACCUGUGGGGACUGUGCCCAUCUAUCAAGCACUUGAAAAGGUAAAUGGAAUUGCAGAGAAUCUGAACUGGGAAGUCUUCAGAGAGACCCUGAUUGAACAAGCUGAGCAGGGUGUCGAUUACUUCACAAUCCAUGCUGGAGUUCUGCUUAGAUACAUCCCAUUAACAGCAAAGCGUAUGACUGGAAUUGUUUCUCGUGGGGGUUCAAUUCAUGCAAAAUGGUGCUUAACUUAUCACAAAGAGAACUUUGCUUAUGAGCACUGGGAUGACAUACUAGACAUCUGUAAUCAAUACGAUGUAGCACUGUCAAUAGGUGAUGGGUUGAGACCUGGGUCAAUAUAUGAUGCCAAUGAUUCUGCUCAGUUUGCGGAGCUAUUAACUCAAGGGGAACUGACGCGUAGAGCUUGGGAAAAGGAUGUACAGGUGAUGAACGAAGGACCUGGACAUAUACCUAUGCAUAAGAUUCCUGAAAACAUGGAAAAACAGCUGGAGUGGUGUAAUGAAGCGCCUUUCUACACUCUUGGACCUUUAACAACUGAUAUUGCUCCUGGAUAUGAUCAUAUCACGUCAGCCAUUGGUGCUGCCAAUAUUGGGGCCCUUGGUACUGCGCUUCUCUGUUAUGUAACGCCAAAAGAACACCUUGGUUUGCCUAAUCGAGAUGAUGUGAAAGCUGGGGUUAUUGCAUAUAAGAUAGCUGCUCAUGCAGCUGACUUGGCGAAAGGUCACCCACAUGCUCAAGCCUGGGAUGAUGCGCUAAGCAAGGCAAGAUUUGAGUUCCGAUGGAUGGACCAAUUUGCUCUAGCGUUGGACCCCAUGACUGCAAUGUCCUUCCAUGACGAAACCUUGCCAGCAGAUGGUGCCAAAGUGGCACACUUUUGCUCUAUGUGUGGGCCUAAGUUCUGUUCUAUGAAGAUAACAGAAGAUGUGCGGAAGUAUGCUGAGGAGCAUGGUUAUGGUAGUGCUGAGGAAGCUGUGCAGCAUGGGAUGGAUGCUAUGAGUGCUGAAUUUCUGGCUGCAAAGAAAACUGUCAGUGGGGAACAACAUGGCGAGAUUGGUGGAGAAAUCUACUUGCCAGCAAAUCAAAUAAAUCCUUGAAGAGUUAAAGGAUAUGUGGAUAUGGAGAAUGAGUUUGGAAUUUCUUGGACUGUUGGCACAUCAUUAGUCAGUCAAGAAUGGAGUUCUGCAAUCUUCAUUUUGUUUUCACUAGCUGUAUGGCUAGGGUGCGGGCAGGUCAGGCUGAGAAAGUCCCUUUGAACCUGAACAGGAUAAUGCCUGCGUAGGGAGUGUGCAGUUUCUUUCCCAUUGUUUUUUGUGCUUUCACAGGGAGGGAGCUUCCAUCUAUGGUUUGGGUUAGCUGAUCCAUGUGCGGGCUGGUUCAGCAUAAUGGUCAGGCUUAUAACUGAUAUGGCCAGGAAGGAAAAGAGGGCUCUCUUGUUAGUAGUUAUAUUCAGAAGUGGAAAAUACUGGCCUAGUUAAACCUUUUAUUCAGAAGAUGCGGAACUUCAUGCUUGCUUUUUCAUCAUGUAUGUGACCGAUGGUAUGCUUGUUUAUCCAUUUUCAGAACUUUGGGGCUUCCUGUCUAAUAAGCGCCCGAAUGUUAUUUGUUCUGAACACAUGGUUUGUUUAAAAUUCUCUUCAAUAAUUUCCAUUCAUAAUUUUAGAAUUUUCGUAA